This 340-nucleotide ribosomal RNA is filed under the name uncultured Pseudomonadota bacterium. Its description in RNAcentral is "bacterial SSU rRNA". It matches the Rfam family "Bacterial small subunit ribosomal RNA", at positions 29 to 351 of the family's 1533-position model. Lineage: Bacteria; Pseudomonadati; Pseudomonadota. The record is from RNAcentral.
AACAAACGCUGGCGGCGUGCCUAACACAUGCAAGUCGUACGAGAAAGUCCGCUUCGGUGGAUGAGUAAAGUGGCGCACGGGUGAGUAACGCGUGGAUAAUCUGCCCUUCAGCGGGGAAUAACGCAUCGAAAGGUGCGCUAAUACCACAUAAUGCUAUUUCUACUUCGGUGGAAUAGCCAAAGAUGGCCUCUGCUUGCAAGCUGUCGCUGAAGGAUGAGUCCGCGUACCAUUAGCUGGUUGGUAGGGUAAUGGCCUACCAAGGCUACGAUGGUUAGCUGGUCUGAGAGGAUGAUCAGCCACACUGGAACUGAGACACGGUCCAGACUCCUACGGGAGGCUG